AUGGAAACCCUGAUUGAAAUGGCGAAACGGGCCGCUUAUUUCAAUGAAAUGGAACUUCAGGUUCUCCUGGGGAGCUAUGACGAGGAGAAGGACAUUAUCACAAGAAAAGGGAACGCUAAAGCCUCUGCAACCCGGAGAACCAAAGCCUGGCAGCGGAUCGCUGACCGCGUAAAUGCGUUAGUUACACGUCAAAAGCAUGAUCGUUAAUAUUUGAGCCAUGAAUAUAUAAAUAUCCCAGUAAAGCAUUCUUAAAGAUCCUACCACAUAACCCCUUUCUUCUAAAAAAAUAUGUACUCCGAUGGCUUCCAAGCGGUCAGCGGAUCAAGUAUAAAAAUGAAGUAUAAAAAACAUACAAACUGGUAAGCUUUUCCCACCAUCGUAUUGGUAUAAAUUUAAAUAAGCAAUUUUUUUAAGCCAAUCGUGAAAAGGCCGACAGUCGGUAGACUGGAUCUGGCCCUCAAAUUGUCUUGACCCCGGUGGAGGAGCUGUUAAUAAACAUAAAUUCAGGGCGCCCUGGCAUGGAGGGGGUACCUGGAGGCAGGGCCAUACCCCACUGGUUGAAUGUAGGUUUUUGUGUUUUCUUGUAUUUUAGAUUUUUUUUUGCCUUCGAAGUAACGCAUGCAAACCAUGUGCUUGCCACAGCGCAUACUAUUCCAAGUGUUUCUUUUUUUGGUAACUGGGUAGAAAACCUAAAAGUGACAAUUCAUCAACUUCACAGAAUAAUAAUUGUUUUUUGUAUCUCCAAUAAUAAGUAAAAAUAAUAAUAAUAAAACAAUUGU
Long non-coding RNA from Gadus macrocephalus (Pacific cod), 779 nucleotides. RefSeq lists it as uncharacterized. NCBI's taxonomy places the organism in Eukaryota, Metazoa, Chordata, Actinopteri, Gadiformes, Gadidae. The record is from RefSeq and is a predicted model, not a curated record. The transcript has 2 exons.